AUAUAUGUAUAUGUUUAUAUAUGGGGUAUUCCAUGUCAAAUCGACCAUUUUUGAACUCGACCCCUUCAGAUUUCGCUGAAACUUUUUCAUUCUUUUCUACCCUUUGAAAAACGCUUUUGAGAAUUUUUUCAAAUUUUUUUGACCAACCCAAAAAAAGUUAUGAAUUUUAAAAAAAAAUGGCUCUUUUAUUUUCAAAUAGCCAUAACUUUUUUUGACAUUGACUUUUGGGUACCUUUUUUUUUUUUAAAUUUUUGUUUUUGAAUGAACUUUUUGAAAAAUUACACAAAAAAAAUUAAAUACGUUAAAUUUAACGAAAUAAUCGGAUUUUUCGAAUAAAAUCGUGAUUUUUUCAAAUCACGUCGAGUUUUUUUUUUUUUUUAUUUUUCAAAAAAAAACUUCAAUUAAUUUGACAACUAUUUCCGUGAAGCCCGGAAUGGGCCGAAUUUUUUUUUUAUUUUUUUUUUUAAUUGAAAAAAAAAUGUCAAAUUUUCAAAAAUUAACAAAAUUUUUUUUUUUCGUAAAAAUUACUUCUAUAACUGAAUAAGUCCGAUCCAUCGAUUUUUAUAAAUUAUA
Cotesia glomerata is the source of this 573-nucleotide long non-coding RNA. RefSeq lists it as uncharacterized. The record is from RefSeq and is a predicted model, not a curated record. The transcript has 3 exons. NCBI's taxonomy places the organism in Eukaryota, Metazoa, Arthropoda, Insecta, Hymenoptera, Braconidae.